AUAGAAAAAAGCAAGAAGUUUUUAAAAGAAAAAAAGAAGAAAAAAAACGGAAAAAGAAAAGAAAAAAAAAAGAACAUGAAAAACGAAAAAAAAAAAGAGAAAUAAAAAAAAGGAAGAAAGGGAAAAAAGAGAUAAAAAAAGAAAAAGAAAAAAAAAGAGAAAAAGAAUAAAAGAGAAAAAGAAAAAAAAAGAAGAAAAAAGAAAAAAGAAAAACAAAAGAAAAAAGAAGGAAGGAAAAAUGAAAAAAAGGGGGUGCCCGUGAAUAAAAUGAAAAGAAAAGAAUGGUGAAUAAAUGAGAGAGGUGCUCCACGUGAUUUUCUUGGAAAAAUGGUGCAACAGGCCCAUAAGCAAUUAAUAUUAAUGCAGGAUAGAUUACUUUAGAAUAUUUUUGAAAUUUUGUUUUAUUUGGUAAUAAUUCGAAUCAUGACAACCAUUGCAAGGAAUAAUUAAAAAUAAUAUAUAUUUUGUUUUAUUUCCCUAUUUUGCUAAUUGACAAUUAAUUCGUCAUUAAAGCAAGAUCACAAUAAUAUUACAAAUGUGUGUAUAUAAAUAUUCACCUUACAAACAAGAGAAAGGGAGGAGGAUUGAAUUUCAAGGAGAGAGCAUAAGGGAACAAAAAAAAAGAGAGAAAAAAAAAUUCAAUUUCAAAAAGAGAGCAUAAGGGAACAAAAAAAGAGAGGAAGAGAAAAAUCCAAUUUCGAGAAGAGAAAAUAAGGGAACAGAAAGAAAAGGGCUUCGUGUUGCUCAUCCCUGG
This 754-nucleotide long non-coding RNA is filed under the name Vigna radiata. Its description in RNAcentral is "long non-coding RNA (VRAD_LNC011982)". Lineage: Eukaryota; Viridiplantae; Streptophyta; Magnoliopsida; Fabales; Fabaceae. The record is from RNAcentral.